This 246-nucleotide ribosomal RNA is filed under the name uncultured bacterium. RNAcentral describes it as "partial 16S ribosomal RNA". It matches the Rfam family "Bacterial small subunit ribosomal RNA", at positions 15 to 253 of the family's 1533-position model. The record is from RNAcentral.
GAUCCUGGCUCAGGAUGAACGCUAGCUACAGGCUUAACACAUGCAAGUCGAGGGGCAGCAUGAACUUAGCUUGCUAAGUUUGAUGGCGACCGGCGCACGGGUGAGUAACACGUACCCAACCUGCCGAUGACUCGGGGAUAGCCUUUCGAAAGAAAGAUUAAUACCCGAUGGCAUAGUUCUUCCGCAUGGUAGAACUAUUAAAGAAUUUCGGUCAUCGAUGGGGAUGCGUUCCAUUAGGUUGUUGGG